Molecule: long non-coding RNA, 1331 nt
Filed under: Sorghum bicolor (sorghum)
Lineage: Eukaryota; Viridiplantae; Streptophyta; Magnoliopsida; Poales; Poaceae
Description: long non-coding RNA (SBIC_LNC000229)
Source: RNAcentral
CUUAGAUCUUGAUUUUCCCGUCGAUUCACCAGAUUUAUUUAUUUAAUCAAUCACAGGUGGGAAGUAUGGAACACCUGCUUGCCUGCUAUUUAUUAUAUAUUUAUAUGGAUAUUAGAACUGCAAGGGGGACGGGUCGACCCGUUGUCAAAUACGAUCUGCUCCUGGUUUAGGCGUCCGGUUCGGACUUCGGAGCGGGUCGACUGCAAGGGACACUACUACAUGAUUGAUUCGCCGUCGAGUCCCACGCUGGUAGGAUCGCUUGGCUCCUUCCUCUCGUGAUUGGAAUCUGAAUCUUGGAAGACUAGAUGUUGUGCUACUGCCCAAAAAUAGUUCGUACUGCAGAGCCUGGAUUCUAAGAUAUAUUGAAAUGAUGUGAAGAGAAAAUUCGGUAGACAUAAUAAUAAUAAUAACUUGUCAUUGUCGUGGAGUGUUUCUUCAACAUCGGUUUUUUUUUUGGUCAAUUGACAUUGCUAAUCGACAAUGUCAGACUCCAAAUUACUUCCAUCUUGUUCUCAAUUGACACAAUCAAGUCUUUUACUUCUGAAAGCAGAGUUCAUUAACACAUCACGAGUGCUACUGCUACCUAAAUAACAUGAGCAGAACUUAUACAAUACCUGCCCAAAAUUUACAUGCUCAUUCCAUUGUACCACUCAUAGUAAUCCGGGACUAAACACUAGACGAUCUGCGUAGCCAAGGUGCGUCGGCCUCGUUUUGAUGGAUCAGCUUGUGAUUCAUUUUCGGAUUGAUGGAUCAGUUUCGAUGGAUCCUGAGCGAGAAAAAAAGGAUUAUCAGUAGCUAGCUGACUUCCUUGUACUUAUCAAAGACAAUACUUUUCUUUGAAUUAUUAGUGUCAUAUACUGAUCUGUGGCGCCUCCUAUAUUUGAUGCAGAGAGUACAAGAAGCAGAAUGGCAGAUAUUCAGAAAGCAUAUGAUUCUGUAGCUGAGAUUUACAGUCAUAUGAUUCUGCUGCCAAGAGGAAGUAGCAUUUUGAAGUUGUCUAUAAAUUAUUUGUAGGAUAAAACAUUCUCAACGUCAUGUAAAUGAUAUGCUUAUUUGCUGGCCUGCAGUGGAAAUACAUUGUCUGUAAUGAAUGUUCUAAAGUAUUAAGCUAUUUGCCCUUGCUUCCUAUUUUAGUUAUGGAAAUGUUCUGUCAUUUCAGUUCUGAAUGUUUCUGAAUGUUCCUACUGAAGUAUUAAUCUCAGCUUCAACACAUUUCAGUGUGCCUGAGUGGAAGGAUAAUACUCAGUCAUUUGAUUUGCUAUUGGAAUGUGUGGUCCUUUGUCAAACAAAGUUCAGGGAUAUAGUUAUAAAAGACAAUGUUCAGGUCCCAA